This 377-nucleotide ribosomal RNA is filed under the name Bufo aspinius (spineless stream toad). RNAcentral describes it as "partial 12S ribosomal RNA". It matches the Rfam family "Bacterial small subunit ribosomal RNA", at positions 794 to 1384 of the family's 1533-position model. Lineage: Eukaryota; Metazoa; Chordata; Amphibia; Anura; Bufonidae. The record is from RNAcentral.
GCCCAGCCGUAAACUUUUAUUUACAUUAAAUCGCCAGGGAACUACGAGCUAAGCUUAAAACCCAAAGGACUUGACGGUACCCCAUAUCCCCCUAGAGGAGCCUGUCCUAUAAUCGAUAAUCCACGUUUAACCUCACCAUUUUUAGUUAAUCAGCCUGUAUACCUCCGUCGUCAGCUUACCACGUGAGCGCCAAUUAGUGAGCCCAAUGUUAAUUCACCAAUACGUCAGGUCAAGGUGCAGCCAAUGAAAUGGAAAGAGAUGGGCUACACUUUCUAAAUUAGAAGAUACGAAAAACUAUUUAUGAAACCUAGUUAGAAGGCGGAUUUAGUAGUAAAAUGGAAUCAGCAUACCCAUUUUAACCUGGCACUGGGGUGUGU